GUGGGGAAUAUUGGACAAUGGGCGAAAGCCUGAUCCAGCCAUGCCGCGUGUGUGAAGAAGGUCUUCGGAUUGUAAAGCACUUUAAGUUGGGAGGAAGGGCAGUAAGUUAAUACCUUGCUGUUUUGACGUUACCGACAGAAUAAGCACCGGCUAACUUCGUGCCAGCAGCCGCGGUAAUACGAAGGGUGCAAGCGUUAAUCGGUAUUACUGGGCGUAAAGCGCGCGUAGGUGGUUUUGUAAGUUGGAGGUGAAAUCACCGGGCUCAACCUGGGAACUGCCUCCAAAACUGCAUGACUAGAGUACGGUAGAGGGUAGUGGAAUUUCCUGUGUAGCGGUGAAAUGCGUAGAUAUAGGAAGGAACACCAGUGGCGAAGGCGACUACCUGGACUGAUACUGACACUGAGGUGCGAAAGCGUGGGGAGCAAACAGGAUUAGAUACCCUAGUAGUCC
RNAcentral lists this ribosomal RNA (450 nucleotides) under uncultured bacterium. Its description in RNAcentral is "partial 16S ribosomal RNA". It matches the Rfam family "Bacterial small subunit ribosomal RNA", at positions 354 to 796 of the family's 1533-position model. The record is from RNAcentral.